RNAcentral lists this non-coding RNA (29 nucleotides) under Macaca fascicularis (crab-eating macaque). The record is from RNAcentral. RNAcentral also lists the same sequence under 1 other name. Lineage: Eukaryota; Metazoa; Chordata; Mammalia; Primates; Cercopithecidae.
UAAUUGGUAAAGAAGCUGCAGUCACUUGU